RNAcentral lists this ribosomal RNA (391 nucleotides) under uncultured bacterium. Its description in RNAcentral is "bacterial SSU rRNA". It matches the Rfam family "Bacterial small subunit ribosomal RNA", at positions 29 to 414 of the family's 1533-position model. The record is from RNAcentral.
AACGAACGCUGGCGGCGUGGCUAAGGCAUGCAAGUCGAACGAACCUAACUGAUGGGCAACCAAAGGGUAGGUUAGUGGCGAACGGGUGAGGAAUACAUGGAUAACGUGCCCCGGACUCAGGGAUAGCGUUGCGAAAGCGGCGGUAAUACCUGAUGACCCCGUAGGAUCGCAUGAUCCCGCGGGCAAGGCUCCGGCGGUCUGGGAGCGGUUCAUGUCCUAUCAGCUAGUGGCGGGGUAACGGCCCACCAAGGCUGCGACGGGUACCGGGCGUGAGAGCGCGACCCGGCACAUCGGAACUGAGACACGGUCCGGACACCUACGGGUGGCUGCAGCAACGAAUAUUCCGCAAUGGACGAAAGUCUGACGAGCGACGCCGCGUGGAGGAUGAAGU